Molecule: transfer RNA, 59 nt
Filed under: Macrogyrodactylus karibae
Lineage: Eukaryota; Metazoa; Platyhelminthes; Monogenea; Gyrodactylidea; Gyrodactylidae
Description: tRNA-Ser
Source: RNAcentral
GGAAAAUUUUCAGAAUUUACUGCUAAUAAAUUUUAGAAGUUUUAUUGCUUCAUUUUCCU